Molecule: ribosomal RNA, 781 nt
Filed under: uncultured Neocallimastigales
Lineage: Eukaryota; Fungi; Neocallimastigomycota; Neocallimastigomycetes; Neocallimastigales
Description: partial large subunit ribosomal RNA
Rfam family: Eukaryotic large subunit ribosomal RNA
Source: RNAcentral
AGAGAGAGACAUGCGCGCAUAUCAAUAAGCGGAGGAAAAGAAACUAACAAGGAUUCCCCUAGUAACGGCGAGUGAAGCGGGAAGAGCUCAAAUUUGAAAUCUUAAAGGGUUCUACCUUGACGAAUUGUAGUUUAAAGAAGUGUUUUCUGUUGGAGUUUUGGUAAAAGUUCUUUGGAAUAGGACAUCAUAGAGGGUGAGAAUCCCGUAUUUGACCAUUAUUUCCAGCUUUGUGAUACACUUUCAAAGAGUCGGAUUGUUUGGGAAUGCAGUCCAAAAUGGGUGGUAAAUUUCAUCUAAAGCUAAAUAUUGGCGAGAGACCGAUAGCGAACAAGUACCGUGAGGGAAAGAUGAAAAGAACUUUGAAAAGAGAGUUGAACAGUACGUGAAAUUGUCAAAAGGGAAGCGUUUGACACCAGUGUUGUUUUCUCGAAAAUCAAUUAAAAAAGAGUUAGGAUUUUGUUGUGUAUUGACCUUUAUCAGCUUUCUGCACUUCAUUUUCUUGUCUUUUUUUAAUGCACUUUUCGUUUAACAAGUCAACAUCAAUUUCUUUUGUUGUAAAAGGGUCAUUGGAAGGUGGCUUUCUUUUCGGAGAAAGUGUUUAUAGCCUUUGGCCUCUGCAAUCGGAGAGAUUGAGGUCUGCAGCGUAGAUCCUUCGGGGUUAGAUACAUUUGUGCUAAGUUAUAGCCUUUCAUAGACAACUUGUUGACUAUGAUCAGUCAUGUAGCUUACUCGCUUAUGCUAUUUUACCUACGCUUAGGAUGUUGAUGUGAUACUGCGAGCA